This 3615-nucleotide long non-coding RNA is filed under the name Homo sapiens (human). Its description in RNAcentral is "non-protein coding lnc-CHORDC1-1:1". Lineage: Eukaryota; Metazoa; Chordata; Mammalia; Primates; Hominidae. The record is from RNAcentral.
AUGUAGUAAUUUUGCCUGGAUGGUUUUGGAUAUAAUAGCCAAUUCAUCACUUGUGAUUUGAUGACUCUUAGGGUCUCUAGUUUUUCUUAACAGCCUCCAAAUUGAAGUUUCAGAAUCCUUACUGCAAAAAGCACAAAAGUUUUCAUUGCCAUUUUGAUAGUGAUAUGUAGCUCGUAAAUAAUAAUUCUUACCUCUGUGUUAGAUAAAACAUCCAGUAAAACAGCAUCAAGUUUAGCUUUGAUAGAAGGGAACAAUUAGAGUUGGUGUAGAGACAGACCAGUUAGGAUGAGGGCAUGAAAUACAGCAGAAGCAGUAGGAAGAGAAGAGAGACUGAGGAUCUUGAAUUAGGGUCUAGAUGAAAAUUUAGGAUGAUUCCUAGGUUUGGGAAUGGAGGGAGAGCUUAAACAAGAUAGAGAAUAUAGACACAGAUUUUGGAGGAAAUGAUUUUCUCAAGGGACUGCUGAGUCCAAGGAAUGUUUACAAAUCCUCAAGAAGUACUCCAGGCUAUUUGUAAGAUCUGAGGCUCAUAGGCCUUUUCUGGCUCUCAGGAUUUAGAGUCGUAAUAGGCAGUAAUGUAAAUUCACUAGCUAACUUUGAGGUUGCAACAUUCAUAGCACUCUGAACUUUGAGGGCAUCUUGUUUUAAUUCAAAAAACUGGUAAUCCCUGCUUUUGAUUGUGAUGUAAGUAGCAGUACACAAGCAUGGGAAUAAGUAAAUCCAAUAAAGGAGUAUUUAGGCUCACCUGCUAAAUACUCAGUGUGCCACCCAAACCAUCUGUAAUGGGUCCCCUUAUUGAAAACAUUCUUUUUCCAGAAUGGGCAAGGAAGGCUGGAUGGGCAAAAGCAAAAUAAAUGUACCACAGACCCUUGAUUCUGUUAGUAUCAGUGAUAAAACAUGAUUGAUAAAACUAGGCAUGAUACAUUCUUAAGGUACAGAAAAAUGUGGAAAUUGUGUCAAGAAAAUUCACAAAUUUUAAAUGGUUCUUUAGGCUGAUAGUAAUAAAUGGGAUCAUUAUAAUUUUAUGUAAAACCUUCAAAGGCUUCCUACUAAAGAAAGCUGAAUUCCAGUAACAGAUUGAGCCCAGACUACUCAGUUCAUAUUUGAGGCCAACUUAGACUAUUUUUGAUGCCUUAAAGAUUCCUUCAAGUCCCCUUUCUCUUUCUACCAUACCCCCAGUAAAGCUACUUAAAAUCCUCUGUAGGAAAGAGCUGAGUAAUUGGGGGCAGAGAUGGAGGACAAAUUUAAGGGAACAGAAAGCCAUUGGGAAGACAAAUGAAAGCCAGAAUCUGAAGAUAAUUUUAAAACCUUCAGGGAAAGUAGGUGUCUAAUCACAGGACUUAAUUCACUUGAGUAGAAAUUUGUAAUUUAGCCAUAGGAAUUUAGGAAGUGUUAGUUACAAGAGGUAACUUGAAGCUGUGGACAUGAUGAUAGCUUUUGUUGCAUAAUUAGAAUGUGCCAAACACUUUGCUAAGUGCUUAUGAUAGCUUUUCUCUUCAGAACAUCACCAUGAUUAUUUACAGUAUAACCUGUAUUUUACAGAUGGAGAAAUGUAGGCAAAGGAAAGGGGCAUAACUUGCCUCCAGGGUCACAUAGAUAGCAAAUGAUGAAAUUUAAUUUUAAAAUUAGAAACUGAUUCCAAAGUCCUUACACUCUUAACCAUGAAACUGAAGACAUCUAAGUCACCACGCAAAACCCAGAAUCUAAAUGGCCAUUUAUUAGUGCUUAUUCCUUUAUUUCCUAAUAUUAAUUAAAUGACUUAAUUACCAUGAGAAGAUAAUGUGCUUUCAGUUUUCGCAGUAGUUAGUUCAGCCAUUGAUUUUCUUACUAAGAACCUCUAAAAGGCCAAUGGGCAGUUGACAAAAAUUAGGGAUGGAUUCUGCAGCUGUAAGACCAAGUGAAAGUAAAAGGCCCAUGGCGGUAAAUUUGUCCCUUGCAGGCAGUUUGUUCUAAAUGCUUGUGCCUAGAAAUAAACUUAGCCUUAUUAUCAUCUGGACUCUGAGCAAUUUUUGCAUCUCAGUAUUCUUAGAUGUGGAUGAUUAAAAGGCCACGUAUGAAGGCAGCUAACAUAAGACACUUUGUGGGAGUGAGAUAAUUCAUUAAAAUCAAAUAUUAGUGUAUUAGGCAAACAAAUUCAAUCAUUUCAGUUAUGUAAAGCUAGCUGGGUUCUCAGUUUUAGCAAGUUAGGGAAGAUAUCACAUUACAGGAGAAAGACAAUCUAAAAGUUUUUGAAGUUUUAAUGGAUUUAACCACUUGUAAAAUGUUAUAAAUUGUAGGACACUUCUCCCAGAGAGAUCCUCUAGCAUACAUGGAUGAUUUACUUUUCAUAUUUAUGAUUUGGCAGGAAAGUUUGAGUUCAUUUGAAGUUAGGCUUUUUAAUAGUUUUUCUCCUCCCAGUGAAUUUUUCUGAGUUGAUAGGUGUAAAAUUUAUAGAUUUUAUUGAUAAUAAAAGUUUGUAAGCAUCUUUAAUGUAGCGAUUCCAUUGCUUAUUUUUUAUUCAGCACUCAGGUCACUUCCUAUGUGCUGGAGAUAAUUAAAGACUCCACUUCCAAGAAAGGAUACAACAAGGAAAAUAAGAGGUUGUUAAAUAAAAAUUAUGCCAAAGAUAAGCCUGUAGAAAGCUUCUGUGGUGCGUAUUUGGUAGAUUUUAUGGAUGGAUUUCGUGAAGGAUAAAUAGCAGAGUCCUGAGGGGGGAAAAAAGGAUAGAAGUGGCCAAAUACAAGAGAGGAAAUGGGAGAAAGAAUAGGAUAUGAAGAAGCCUGGCAUUGAGAGGUGGUAUUGGCCUGUUAAGAAAACUUGUUUGCCUAGCCCCUAAGUUCUAGUCUCACUCAGUAUUGGGUUUAGGGCUCCUCUAGAUUCUAGUACAUCAUGAUAGAUCAUGCAGUCAGUAAAAGUCCUGCUGAUUUUCCCCAGUAAAGUGCUUUAGUCCACACAAAGCCUGAUCUUUAAUCCAUGCCUAGAAUUGGCAAAUGAUGCCAGGAAAGAAAACAGUUGGUAGUCUCAGCUAUGUAGAAAAGACAAAGACUUUUAGUACAUCUAGUCUUAAGCGCUUCCACAGCUCUUUCGUAUCUGUAAUGUAUUUUGCAUUUGAUCCAUUUUUUCCUAGUUACUGCACCUGGGAGCGACUGCCAGUACUACCACAUCAUUUCGGUAGUGGAGGUCCCCAUUGAAGGUUUUUUUCAUAGCACAUAGCAUGAUCACGUCUAGGAAGAUCGUUCUGGCUGUAGAUAGUAUAAUUAUCUACUAAUACAAAGGGGGAAAGGACGUGAGAUGAUGUGAAAGGAAGUUUUGCAUCAUUUACUUGAAAGAUACUGUUCUUCUGAAUUUAAUCACAUUGGGGAUUGGAAAAAGUAGAUGAAUAAAAAUUAAAAAGAAAAAAACAAAUGAGUUCAUGAAGUUAAGCAAUUAAAGAAAAAGACAAAUCUAAUACAGUACUGUAAUUAUUUCAAAGGUUACUAUUUUACCCUAAACUCAUUUCUAUACUUGAAAGUUCAAGGAUCGAUUGAUAUUUUUGAAAUUCUGAACUAAAUGGAAAUAUUAAGAUGGCUCAUGUGUGCAUAUAUAAAUGUUAUUUGUAUCCUCAGAAUAAACUAAUAAAUUUCAAGGGUACAAAAUAGG